AGCCACGUAGCUCAGUGGUAGAGCGCCCAGGUUUCUUCCCUGGGAGGUCGGUGGUUCGAAUCCACCCGUGGCUG
RNAcentral lists this transfer RNA (74 nucleotides) under Verticillium dahliae VdLs.17. Its description in RNAcentral is "tRNA-Arg (TCT) (tRNA-Arg-TCT-3-1)". It matches the Rfam family "tRNA". From Rfam's summary of the family: Transfer RNA (tRNA) molecules are approximately 80 nucleotides in length. The record is from RNAcentral. Lineage: Eukaryota; Fungi; Ascomycota; Sordariomycetes; Glomerellales; Plectosphaerellaceae. RNAcentral also lists the same sequence under 1 other name.